GACGAACGCUGGCGGCGUGCCUAACACAUGCAAGUCGAGCGGGGUUGAGGCGAGAGGUAACUCGAGCUUCUACCUAGCGGCGGACGGGUGAGUAACGCGUGGGCAACCUGCCUCAAGGUUUGGGAUAACAGCCCGAAAGGGCUGCUAAUACCGGAUAUGCCUAUGGCCUCGCAUGGGGCUAUGAGCAAAGGGGAAACCCGCCUUGAGAUGGGCCCGCGUCCCAUCAGCUAGUUGGUGAGGUAACAGCUCACCAAGGCGACGACGGGUAGCCGGCCUGAGAGGGUGACCGGCCACACUGGGACUGAGACACGGCCCAGACUCCUACGGGGGGCAGCAGUGGGGGAUCUUGCACAAUGGGCGAAAGCCUGAUGCAGCGACGCCGCGUGAGCGAAGAAGGCCUCGGUUGUAAGACUCUGUCUGAGGGAGAACGAAAAAGGUACUCCGACGGAGCACGGCAACUACGUGCCAGCAGCCGCGGUAACGUCUGUAGU
RNAcentral lists this ribosomal RNA (491 nucleotides) under uncultured bacterium. RNAcentral's name for it is "bacterial SSU rRNA". It matches the Rfam family "Bacterial small subunit ribosomal RNA", at positions 28 to 531 of the family's 1533-position model. The record is from RNAcentral.